This 253-nucleotide ribosomal RNA is filed under the name uncultured bacterium. RNAcentral's name for it is "partial 16S ribosomal RNA". It matches the Rfam family "Bacterial small subunit ribosomal RNA", at positions 524 to 776 of the family's 1533-position model. The record is from RNAcentral.
GACGAGCCACACAAACGUUAUUCGGAAUUACUGGGCUUAAAGGGUGCGUAGGCGGCGCGGAAAGUUGGGUGUGAAAGCCCUCGGCUCAACCGAGGAAUUGCGCCCAAAACUACCGUGCUUGAGGAAGAUAGAGGUGAGCGGAACUCAGGGUGGAGCGGUGAAAUGCGUUGAUAUCCGGAGGAACACCGAUGGCGAAGGCAAUCCCCUGGGCCUGUACUGACGCUCAUGCACGAAAGCGUGGGGAGCAAACAGG